CGCGUGAGCAAUCUGCCUUUGGAUGGGGAUAACAGCCGGAAACGACUGGCUAAUACCGCAUAAUGCAGCAGGACCGCGAUGAUUUUGCUGCCAAAGAUUUAUCGUCCAAAGAUGAGCUCGCGUCUGAUUAGCCAGUUGGCGGGGUAACGGCCCACCAAAGCGACGAUCAGUAGCCGGACUGAGAGGUUGAACGGCCACAUUGGGACUGAGACACGGCCCAGACUCCUACGGAAGGCAGCAG
RNAcentral lists this ribosomal RNA (241 nucleotides) under uncultured bacterium. RNAcentral's name for it is "partial 16S ribosomal RNA". It matches the Rfam family "Bacterial small subunit ribosomal RNA", at positions 114 to 354 of the family's 1533-position model. The record is from RNAcentral.